Molecule: long non-coding RNA, 1101 nt
Filed under: Populus trichocarpa (black cottonwood)
Lineage: Eukaryota; Viridiplantae; Streptophyta; Magnoliopsida; Malpighiales; Salicaceae
Description: long non-coding RNA (PTRI_LNC004534)
Source: RNAcentral
AGUAAAUGUGUCAAAAAAUUCUGUAUAAAUUCAAGAGAACAAAAAAGAAUCAAUUAGUCAAAACUUCAUCUGUCAAGUUCAUGAAUUUUAUGCCUGUGCUGAUUCAAAAGCUGAAUAUCAACAAAGAGAUUGGAGAUCACAAUUCCAAAGAUCUAACAACUUAUCUGAAUAAAAUCCAGAAGGCUGUAUUUUUUUUUUUUUUUCUUUCGGCCCAACCGGAGGACUCCAAGAAAUUCACCUAAAAAAAUCAAAUCCUUAAAAGGAUAAACAUAGCCAUAUGUAUCUUCCCAAUAACCCCCAUGAUAAUUACAAAUCUAGAACAAGUCCUCCUUUGGGGUGCGAGUCUGAGCAGUAAAUGUGUCAAAAAAUUCUGUAUAAAUUCAAGAGAACAAAAAAGAAUCAAUUAGUCAAAACUUCAUCUGUCAAGUUCAUGAAUUUUAUGCCUGUGCUGAUUCAAAAGCUGAAUAUCAACAAAGAGAUUGGAGAUCACAAUUCCAAAGAUCUAACAACUUAUCUGAAUAAAAUCCAGAAGGCUGUAUUUUUUUUUUUUUCAUUCAGCACAAACAGAAGAACUCAAGAAAAUCAACUAAAAAAAUCAAAUCAUUAAAAGGAUAAACAUAGCCAUAUGUAUCUUGCCAAUAACCCCCAUGAUAAUUACAAAUCUAGAACAAGUCCUCCUUUGGGGUGCGAGUCUGAGCAGUAAAUGUGAAAGAAGAAAAAAGACGACCUGGAGUUCUGAGGCCAUGAUAAUCGAUAAAAAAAAAAAUAAACAAAGACCGUCAAUGACUGGAACAUAGAGAUAACCAAGCAUGUGUGGCAGAUCUGUUACAGAUCCAAACAAACUCCCAAAAACAAAUUAAAGCAAUCAAAAGGAUAACGACCCUUAAGUCCUCUUCUGUGUUGUGAGAUGAGAGAUGACACCUAGAGUGCGUCCUCUUCGGCUGGGAGACGGGGGGGGGUCUGAGGAUCCUCCUCUUCGGCUGGGAGACGGGGGGGUCUGAGGAUCCCCCCAAGCAGUAGUUAGUAUAUUUGAGCAUGUUUAGCAGUGUGGUUGCGGGUGCUUUUCAAAUAAUUUUUUGUGCCAAAAUGCAUGCCAAUUAU